GGGAUCUUAGCUCAGCUGGGAGAGCAUCUGCCUUACAAGCAGAGGGUCACAGGUUCGAGCCCUGUCGGUCCCA
This 73-nucleotide transfer RNA is filed under the name Dorea sp. RNAcentral describes it as "tRNA-Val". It matches the Rfam family "tRNA". From Rfam's summary of the family: Transfer RNA (tRNA) molecules are approximately 80 nucleotides in length. Their secondary structure includes four short double-helical elements and three loops (D, anti-codon, and T loops). Lineage: Bacteria; Bacillati; Bacillota; Clostridia; Lachnospirales; Lachnospiraceae. The record is from RNAcentral.